Molecule: ribosomal RNA, 422 nt
Filed under: uncultured archaeon
Lineage: Archaea
Description: partial 16S ribosomal RNA
Rfam family: Archaeal small subunit ribosomal RNA
Source: RNAcentral
CUACGGGGGGCAGCAGGCGCGAAACCUUUACAAUGCACGCAAGUGUGAUAAGGGGAUCCCCAGUGCUCAUGUACUGCAUGGGCUUUUGCCAAGUGUAAAUAGCUUGGCGAAUAAGUGGUGGGUAAGACUGGUGCCAGCCGCCGCGGUAACACCAGCGCCACGAGUGGCAACCGCGUUUAUUGGGCCUAAAGCGUCCGUAGCCGGCCCUGUAAAUCCUUUGUGAAAUUGCUCGGCUCAACCGAUCAGCGCGCAAGGGAGACUGCAGGGCUCGAGACCGGGAGGAGUCAGAAGUAUUCCUGAGGGAGCGGUAAAAUGUUAUAAUCUCAGGAGGACUACCUGUGGCGAAGGCGUCUGACCAGAACGGAUCUGACGGUGAGGGACGAAAGCCAGGGGAGCGAACCGGAUUAGAUACCCUAGUAGUC